CCUACGGGGGGCUGCAGUGAGGAAUAUUGCACAAUGGGCGAAAGCCUGAUGCAGCGACGCCGCGUGGGCGAAGAAGGUCUUCGGAUCGUAAAGCCCUUUUCUGUGUGACGAGGAAGGACGGUAGCACAGGAAUAAGUCUCGGCUAACUACGUGCCAGCAGCCGCGGUAAAACGUAGGAGGCAAGCGUUAUCCGGAGUUACUGGGCGUAAAGCGCGUGUAGGCGGUUGAGCAGGUCAGGUGUGAAAGCUCCCAGGCUAAACCGGGAGAGGUCACUU
This 275-nucleotide ribosomal RNA is filed under the name uncultured bacterium. Its description in RNAcentral is "partial 16S ribosomal RNA". It matches the Rfam family "Bacterial small subunit ribosomal RNA", at positions 338 to 628 of the family's 1533-position model. The record is from RNAcentral.